UAUAACAAAACUUUUAUUGUUUACUCGUUUUUUUUCCUCUGCUUUCGUAAUGAGGAUCUGGGCGUAUACUUCGAAUCAUAUUUCAUUACGCACAUAAUUGACUAUUUCUGACUGCAGCUUGUCUUAUUGUUGAAAAGGAAAGGAUGAUUAGUUGUAGGAUAGUACAUGAGCUAUGAUGUUUUAACUCUACUUUUUUCAGCGCAAUAUGGUAACCAGCUUAAUCAAACCCAUCUAAUGAUUUAGUUUUUAAGUAAGAAUAUUUGUUUGAGAGAUAGUAUAGAAUGGUAAAAUGGCACUUGAACUUUAAACUGAGAUUUUUGGGAAUGAGAGUUCUAUACAUUAUCAAAUAUGGCACAAUUCAUCCUUGAAACGAUGUGACAUAAUAUAACAGUUCAUGUCCUGAGCAGAGCAAGCUAGUCUGGAUGGAAAAUACAUAACAGAGCAAGCAUGGUAUCAUUUUUAUUAUUUUUUUGUCAAAGAGAACUUGAAUACUCUCUAAUUCAACAUUGUUUUCUUAACCUUUUUCAUAUUUAUACUCCUGUUUGUCUCUCGUUUUUUUGCAUUGAGAAUGGAGAACUCUGGGAUCAGUAGAUGUAGUCAAAUAAAUGGGGAAAAAAGAGAAGUACAUGAAAGGAACUGAUUUUGUGUGACUCACCAAGAAGCGUGUGAGAAAUGGGAAAAAGCACACAAAUCAUGCAUGAACUUCUAGUUGUAUACUUGUAUAUGAAGGGUAAAAUGGAGCAGUUAAAAGUAGCACCACAUAAAUAUCAUCUGCUAUCACCAAACUGUGUUCUUUGCAUCUUCCUCCUCGCUUUUCAUGAUGAUAAACCAGACUAAAUUAGCUAUUAGUAUACUUUUACUUGGUGAUAAAGAGAUUGGAGAAAAACUAAUAAAAUAAAGUUAUCAUGCAAAAUCCUAAAAUUAUUUUAGAGAAAAAAUUGCACACCAGCAUUCUUCCACGCCGGUUGAAUUCAAUGCAUGUACUUCUAUGCAUAGAUAGAAUCUGCAUUAUGCGAAGUAGACCAACAAUCGCUGCCCAAAAGACUUGAUGUACAUAAGUGUGAGCCCAAUUGGUCGAUCUAUCUACACUCGAACAUGUCAAUGGCAAGACAAUAGAAGUGUGACAGGAGUAGGUCGCCUCCACCUCGUAUGUGAUGACCAACUUUAGGCUGCAACUGCUCACCUCUCGCCACCAACCAGCAUGGUACCAAGCGUCCCAAAUGGAAUUCACCAUGUCUGCCACUUCUACACGCUACAUGCUACAACUGCAAGAUCUAUACUCCAUAUAUGCGAGAGCUAUAGUUUAUGGAAGUUAGACUUUAGGAAAUGUAUAUGUGAUUCUUUUAGAUAGGUAGGACAUGUAUAUGUAUGAACAUUACGCAUAUAUUUGUUCUUUCUAUGGACUAAAAGAAACAAGGCUAAAUAUCUAUCA
Molecule: non-coding RNA, 1432 nt
Organism: Oryza sativa Japonica Group (Japanese rice)
Lineage: Eukaryota; Viridiplantae; Streptophyta; Magnoliopsida; Poales; Poaceae
Source: RefSeq, a predicted model, not a curated record